GGCUCAGGAUGAACGCUGGCGGCGUGCCUAAUACAUGCAAGUCGAACGAGGUAGCAAUACCGAGUGGCGAACGGGUGAGUAACACGUAGGUAACCUGCCCUUAAGCUUGGGAUACCCAGAGGAAACUUGGCUAAUACCGGAUAACAACAGAGAAGGCAUCUUCUUUGCUUGAAAGGCCCCUUCAAGGGUCACUUAAGGAUGGACCUGCGGCGCAUUAGCUAGUUGGUGAGAUAACAGCCCACCAAGGCGAGGAUGCGUAGCCGAACUGAGAGGUUGAUCGGCCACAUUGGAACUGAGACACGGUCCAAACUCCUACGGGAGGCAGCAGUAAGGAGUUUUCGGCAAUGGGGGAAACCCUGACCGAGCAACGCCGCGUGAGCGAUGACGGCCCUAUGGGUUGUAAAAAGCUCUGUUGUAAGCCAUGAAUGACAGCUUGAGGAAAUGCAAGUUGUUUGACGACAGCUUACCAGAAAGCCACGGCUAACUACGUGCCAGCAGCUGC
RNAcentral lists this ribosomal RNA (502 nucleotides) under uncultured bacterium. RNAcentral's name for it is "bacterial SSU rRNA". It matches the Rfam family "Bacterial small subunit ribosomal RNA", at positions 21 to 518 of the family's 1533-position model. The record is from RNAcentral.